GGGUCUGGUAGAGCUGAUGGGAGGACGGAGGAGGAGGGGGCAGAGAAGGCGGUUUGGCCUCAUUUUGCCUUCCUGCGCAUCUUUAUUUAUGCAAUACCGCCCCCUCAUGGUUAGGGUUGGGAACGGCGUCAAGGAUGGACCUACUCAUACGAACGACGCAAGUCCGCAGGGACCAAAUCAAGAGAGGACACAAGGUGUGACUACAUCUUAUAGAACAAGAGAUGAGAAGUCGAAGUAGCCAAAUUUCAGAAUGCUGUGAAUGUUAAAUUGCACCACAAGGAUUUGUUCAGCAAAAUUCAGCGGCUGGAAACGCUACUGGACAAACAACUGAGUUCCGUUAUUAAAUUACAUGGAAAGAAAGAGAUGGAGAGGAAACCUAUACACUGAAAAAGACUUAGAAGACAUAUCAGCCAAUCACAAUGUGUGGAAUUUAUUUGGAAUU
Molecule: long non-coding RNA, 442 nt
Organism: Mesoplodon densirostris (Blainville's beaked whale)
Lineage: Eukaryota; Metazoa; Chordata; Mammalia; Artiodactyla; Ziphiidae
Exons: 3
Source: RefSeq, a predicted model, not a curated record